RNAcentral lists this ribosomal RNA (433 nucleotides) under uncultured bacterium. RNAcentral describes it as "partial 16S ribosomal RNA". It matches the Rfam family "Bacterial small subunit ribosomal RNA", at positions 29 to 507 of the family's 1533-position model. The record is from RNAcentral.
AACGAACGCUGGCGGCAUGCCUAACACAUGCAAGUCGAACGAGACCUUCGGGUCUAGUGGCGCACGGGUGCGUAACGCGUGGGAACCUGCCCUUAGGUUCGGAAUAACUCCCCGAAAGGGGUGCUAAUACCGGAUAAUGUCUUCGGACCAAAGAUUUAUCGCCUUUGGAUGGGCCCGCGUUGGAUUAGCUAGUUGGUAGGGUAAAAGCCUACCAAGGCGACGAUCCAUAGCUGGUGUGAGAGGAUGAUCAGCCACACUGGGACUGAGACACGGCCCAGACUCCUACGGGAGGCAGCAGUGGGGAAUAUUGGACAAUGGGCGAAAGCCUGAUCCAGCAAUGCCGCGUGAGUGAUGAAGGCCUUAGGGUUGUAAAGCUCUUUUACCCGGGAUGACAAUGACAGUACCGGGAGGAUAAGCUCCGGCUAACUCCGUG